This 1009-nucleotide ribosomal RNA is filed under the name Arthrobacter sp. RP17. Its description in RNAcentral is "bacterial SSU rRNA". It matches the Rfam family "Bacterial small subunit ribosomal RNA", at positions 356 to 1378 of the family's 1533-position model. Lineage: Bacteria; Bacillati; Actinomycetota; Actinomycetes; Micrococcales; Micrococcaceae. The record is from RNAcentral.
UGGGGAUAUUGCACAAUGGGCGCAAGCCUGAUGCAGCGACGCCGCGUGAGGGAUGACGGCCUUCGGGUUGUAAACCUCUUUCAGUAGGGAAGAAGCGUAAGUGACGGUACCUGCAGAAGAAGCGCCGGCUAACUACGUGCCAGCAGCCGCGGUAAUACGUAGGGCGCAAGCGUUAUCCGGAAUUAUUGGGCGUAAAGAGCUCGUAGGCGGUUUGUCGCGUCUGCCGUGAAAGUCCGGGGCUCAACUCCGGAUCUGCGGUGGGUACGGGCAGACUANAGUGAUGUAGGGGAGACUGGAAUUCCUGGUGUAGCGGUGAAAUGCGCAGAUAUCAGGAGGAACACCGAUGGCGAAGGCAGGUCUCUGGGCAUUAACUGACGCUGAGGAGCGAAAGCAUGGGGAGCGAACAGGAUUAGAUACCCUGGUAGUCCAUGCCGUAAACGUUGGGCACUANGUGUGGGGGACAUUCCACGUUUUCCGCGCCGUAGCUAACGCAUUAAGUGCCCCGCCUGGGGAGUACGGCCGCAAGGCUAAAACUCAAAGGAAUUGACGGGGGCCCGCACAAGCGGCGGAGCAUGCGGAUUAAUUNGAUGCAACGCGAAGAACCUUACCAAGGCUUGACAUGAACCGGUAAUACCUGGAAACAGGUGCCCCGCUUGCGGUCGGUUUACAGGUGGUGCAUGGUUGUCGUCAGCUCGUGUCGUGAGAUGUUGGGUUAAGUCCCGCAACGAGCGCAACCCUCGUUNUAUGUUGCCAGCACGUGAUGGUGGGGACUCAUAGGAGACUGCCGGGGUCAACUCGGAGGAAGGUGGGGACGACGUCAAAUCAUCAUGCCCCUUAUGUCUUGGGCUUCACGCAUGCUACAAUGGCCGGUACAAAGGGUUGCGAUACUGUGAGGUGGAGCUAAUCCCAAAAAGCCGGUCUCAGUUCGGAUUGGGGUCUGCAACUCGACCCCAUGAAGUCGGAGUCGCUAGUAAUCGCAGAUCAGCAACGCUGCGGUGAUAGUCCCGGC